GCGGAAGGCCCUUCGGGGUACUCGAGCGGCGAACGGGUGAGUAACACGUGAGCAACCUGCCCUAGGCUUUGGGAUAACCCUCGGAAACGGGGGCUAAUACCGAAUAUUCACUCACGGGCGCAUGUUUGUGGGUGGAAAGUUUUUCGGCUUGGGAUGGGCUCGCGGCCUAUCAGCUUGUUGGUGGGGUAAUGGCCUACCAAGGCGACGACGGGUAGCCGGCCUGAGAGGGCGACCGGCCACACUGGGACUGAGACACGGCCCAGACUCCUACGGGAGGCAGCAGUGGGGAAUAUUGCACAAUGGGCGGAAGCCUGAUGCAGCGACGCCGCGUGAGGGAUGACGGCCUUCGGGUUGUAAACCUCUUUCAGCAGGGACGAAGCGCAAGUGACGGUACCUGCAGAAGAAGCGCCGGCCAACUACGUGCCAGCAGCCGCGGUAAGACGUAGGGCGCGAGCGUUGUCCGGAUUUAUUGGGCGUAAAGAGCUCGUAGGCGGCUUGUCGCGUCGACUGUGAAAACCCGUGGCUCAACUGCGGGCCUGCAGUCGAUACGGGCAGGCUAGAGUUCGGUAGGGGAGACUGGAAUUCCUGGUGUAGCGGUGAAAUGCGCAGAUAUCAGGAGGAACACCGGUGGCGAAGGCGGGUCUCUGGGCCGAUACUGACGCUGAGGAGC
Molecule: ribosomal RNA, 670 nt
Filed under: Verrucosispora sp. 453
Lineage: Bacteria; Bacillati; Actinomycetota; Actinomycetes; Micromonosporales; Micromonosporaceae
Description: bacterial SSU rRNA
Rfam family: Bacterial small subunit ribosomal RNA
Source: RNAcentral